Long non-coding RNA from Gasterosteus aculeatus aculeatus (three-spined stickleback), 835 nucleotides. NCBI's taxonomy places the organism in Eukaryota, Metazoa, Chordata, Actinopteri, Perciformes, Gasterosteidae. The record is from Ensembl.
GGAAACAACACUGGAUCAGCUGGCAACUCCAUCGACAGAAAAACGAGGAAGAGAAGAAAGGACAACCAUCAGAGGUAAACUUUGACUCAAGAAGACACCUGCUCUGUGAGGACGCCUGCUCUCUGAGGACACCUGCUCUGACAUAUCAGCCUCCCUCCAGGUGACAGAUGUUGAACCCUUCGGUGAUGAAGGAUCCAUCUGUGAUGAAGACUACGUUCCUGGCUCUUCACCAAGUGGUGAUGACUCGGGCUCUGAUGAUGCAUAUUCUUCAUGUAGUGUGAUGUUGCCUUUCCAUCAAUCCUGAGCCGCCACAUUUUAAGACUGCUCCAACUCUGCUGUCUAUGGAGACGACAGCGAGUGUGGCACCACUCAGGAACUAUGGUGUAACUGACAGAGUUAGUGUUGAUGAAGACCUCGUACCUGAUUACCUAUUCUGAUCAUGAACCCACCACAAGCAGCACUCAGAGAAGUUACUGAAACAGAGGCUUAUUGUUCUGAAGAAGGGGACACGACUGAGACUGAGCCAAACCCCAAAGCUUCUUCUUGCACCCACAAAAAUUAUUUGUUUUGUUUGCAGGAAACCUCAGUGAAAAAUAGCUCGUCACCUAAAAAAUCACUAAAAAGAAGAGUCUGAUGUUGCUCGAGCAUUCUUGCUCCCUAAACAUUCUAAAGAGACAAAGAAAUUCACUGAAGGAACAAAGGAAAACAAAACAAGGUGACAUCAUCCCAGGAUGAAACCAAGAGUUCCAAGGGGGGAAAUGUGUGUGUAGCAGCAGGGAAGGUUACAUCGUAAACAUGUUGGAUAUAAAAGUAUUCCACAUGGAAUGAAACAUGC